GCCAUUGGUUUUGUCGUCCACCGCUCCUCCCAGUGUUCCAGAGUACCUUGCUCGUUGCUUCGUUGAAUUGCUUGGCUGGUGCUCGCAAUUGCGUGGUUUGGUUUCAUUUGACUUAGCACUGAAUCCCUCAAUUUACCAUUCAGUGAACAAUCCUCUCAUGGUAUUUGUCUACACUAGAUUACUCCUACUGUGAUGAUGAUGUGUGAUGAUGAUGUGUCUGAUGGUAGACACCUUGCAACUAGCCACACAUGUACUGAUAGUUUAUUGUGAUUAUUACUGUACCAUGAGUCAUUAAACACUUGAAGGCACUGCACUACUAUUCUGUAUUUUAUAAUAUGUUCCUGUUAUGCUUGACAUAGGCUUGAUGAAAUCUUACUGUUUUAAUCACAAUAGCAUGGCAGUAACAUGUUAUCAUGCUGGAUGAAGAAAAGCAUAUGUAAUGAGUUCUUUAAUGUUUAAUUACCUCAAUUGUCAAGCAGUGUUUGUUUUUGUAUACAUUUACUGCUAUCAAUCGACUACAGUAGUCAUCUGGAUGCUUGGGACUUGCAUAUAUUCUGCUGCACUUGAAACAUUAAGAAGUAUUUUUCCUUGUUUUUUCGAACAAUUGUUGAACUUCACAUUCCUGAAUAUAUGCAUUACUAUUCGGUAUAGGUCUAGGCGGCUCUUCGUAUUUUACAACUCCUUAUCAUGCCCCUCUAAUAUUUCUGUAGGUGGCCAUGAACUCAAUAAAUCAUCAGGAAAUGCCUUUGCUGCAGCUCACCUAUGGCCUUGUUUGUCCUGCAGGUUAGUGAGCAGCAUUAGGAGGAGGAGCUCAAGUAGGCCACCACGACGCACCACUGCAACAGUAGGUAGCACGUCCAUCUCCCUCUCCAUAUGCUGCCAAUCCUUUUUGUUUCUUUAAAACUAGGUCCAAUCAGCACACAAAUUGACUGUCUAUUCUCUCAAAAAUCAGUUUACAACCCUACAGAAUUGUGUUGAUGGUCAUCAGUAGAGAGAGGGAGAGAGCAUUUCUUGCAAAUGAGUGAGAGAGAGGCAUAGUCUAAUUGUGAAUCCAUGUGUGUGCAUUUCUGUCUUAUUGGAAUAUGUUGAGUACAUAUUGGAAUACAACUAAGACCAAUGAUUCAUGCUCAAUUCUGUAUAUGUAUGUAUGACAAGUAAAGUUGGAAGGCCCAAAUCUUAACCGAAUAGUAACAUCACAUGUUGGCUCCGUCAUAUAUAUGAGAAUGCAAUUAGGAGAAAGUUAUAUCAGCAAGUUGUUGUACGUGUUAGAGAAGUCAGUGUUGAUUUAUUUGUUGUUCUUUUUUUCUUUCUAAUUUUUGCAUGAGAGCAAACUGGUGUAGCUAGCUGGACUAUGCAACCAAGAAUCAGGAAGUAGCAUAUUCAGUUUUGCUAAUAGAAAAUAAAUGUAUAAAAAACUUUAAAAACUGCAUAAUAAGUGCUUGUUCAUGUUUGGUUUUCUCUAAACUUUGUUUAUAUGAUUGAGGGCAAAUUUACUUGGUUCUUUUCUCUAAACUGUGCUUGGAACAUUCGUUUUUAUGAUCUAAAAUUGUCUUCCUGUGAUGAUGCAGGUGCCCAGUUUGUGCUCGCUACCGAAGGAGCUCCAUGUUGAAGAAGAUUGAAGACACUUGUAGAGCUACAGGGUUAACACCAGGGCAACUUGUAGAGCUUGUAGAGCUUGUAGAUGUAUAGAGCUUGUAAAUGUAUCAUGUGUAGAGCUUGUAUAUGUUAGAGCUUGUAAAGUAUAUGUUAUUUGUACAAUAGGAGCUCUGUACUGAAUCUGGCUGAUAAUAUUUGGAGUAUUAUGUGUGUGUUUUGUUUGUGCCAAUUUAAAUACUGGUUAUUUAUUUACUGUUAAAUUGAAAUAUGAAGAAUAUGAACUUGCUAGCUGGGACCCACAUACCUGAACCUGACAUCUGGGACCCAUUUGACUAGUGGACCUUUUUUAUAUUACAAAAAAACUAAAAC
RNAcentral lists this long non-coding RNA (1965 nucleotides) under Triticum aestivum (bread wheat). RNAcentral's name for it is "long non-coding RNA (TAES_LNC010793)". The record is from RNAcentral. Lineage: Eukaryota; Viridiplantae; Streptophyta; Magnoliopsida; Poales; Poaceae.